GAUGAAGAACGCAGCAAAAUGCGAUAAGUAAUGUGAAUUGCAGAAUUCAGUGAAUCAUCGAAUCUUUGAACGCACAUUGCGCCCGCCAGUAUUCUGGCGGGCAUGCCUGUUCGAGCGUCAUUUCAACCAUCAAGCCCCAGGCUUGUGUUGGGGACCUGCGGCUGCCGCAGGCACUGAAAACCAGUGGCGGGCUCGCUAGUCACACCGAGCGUAGUAGCAUACACAUCGCUCAGGGCGUGCUGCGGGUUCCGGCCGUUAAACCCCUUUUUUACCCAAGGUUGACCUCGGAUCAGGUAGGAAGACCCGCUGAACUUAAGCAUAUCAAUAAGCGGAGGA
Molecule: unclassified non-coding RNA, 336 nt
Filed under: soil metagenome
Description: partial contains 5.8S ribosomal RNA, internal transcribed spacer 2, and large subunit ribosomal RNA
Rfam family: 5.8S ribosomal RNA (bases 1-120)
Source: RNAcentral